UGGGGAAUUUUGGACAAUGGGGGCAACCCUGAUCCAGCCAUGCCGCGUGAGUGAAGAAGGCCUUCGGGUUGUAAAGCUCUUUCGGCGGGGACGAAACGGUCCGUGACAACACCACGGACUAAUGACAGUACUCGCAGAAGAAGCACCGGCUAACUACGUGCCAGCAGCCGCGGUAAUACGUAGGGUGCAGGCGUUAAUCGGAAUUACUGGGCGUAAAGCGUGCGCAGGCGGCUCCUUAAGUCAGAUGUGAAAUCCCCGGGCUUAACCUGGGAACUGCGUUUGAAACUGAGGGGCUAGAGUGUGGAAGAGGGGGGUGGAAUUCCAGGUGUAGCAGUGAAAUGCGUAGAGAUCUGGAGGAACACCGAUGGCGAAGGCAGCCCCCUGGGCUAACACUGACGCUCAUGCACGAAAGCGUGGGGAGCAAACAGGAUUAGAUACCCCCGUAGUCCUGAGCGGGCUGGCAAGGCGCAU
This 471-nucleotide ribosomal RNA is filed under the name uncultured bacterium. RNAcentral's name for it is "bacterial SSU rRNA". It matches the Rfam family "Bacterial small subunit ribosomal RNA", at positions 355 to 825 of the family's 1533-position model. The record is from RNAcentral.